This is a long non-coding RNA of Brienomyrus brachyistius, 799 nucleotides long. RefSeq lists it as uncharacterized. The record is from RefSeq and is a predicted model, not a curated record. Lineage: Eukaryota; Metazoa; Chordata; Actinopteri; Osteoglossiformes; Mormyridae. The transcript has 3 exons.
UUUUUCACGAACAAGUGUGGUGUGGAUUAACCUUUAUGUUCAUAAAUCCACUACGUCAGAUCAAAAGAAGACGACAGGCACUGUAGGGCAGCAGGGACAAGGGGGGGUUUGCUGCGCUGCACCAUGGGAAAAGUAUUGGGCAAUAAUCUAAGAUGGGUCGCAGGGCUAAAGACACUCAGUGACAUCCCACUGAUAUUCAGACAUACCAUAGAUCCAGUAAAACUUGAUCUAUGGUAGGGCCCGGAUGUACAGGACAGCUUUGUGUAAGGAUCUGCGCCCCUGACUGGAAGGUUAUGGGUUCAAAUCCUGUGGCAGGCAGGGCCCUUCAGAACUACACGCCCAAUAUAUUCCAAUGUAGCUGGUAUAAAUUGUAAAUAAAGUAUCUAUCAUCACUCCUGCAGAGCCCCACGUCAGACUGCUUAUUCAUACGGACUGGGCGAGAAUAGAUCAGCCAGCUAGAGGUGCAGCAGUCACACGGCUGGAGUGCAACUACAUGGAUCAUGGGUCCAAGAAGAAGACCAUGCAGAUAAACCUGAGCUCCAUCAGCCGCAGUAAAAAGCACUCACAACUCAUCCCAGGACUCUAGAAGGGCUGCAGAUUCCCUGCCCGUCUCUCUGUCUUCCUGGACAACUACAUCUCACUCGAGCUUCUCGACACGGCAUCACAUCCCUGCCCAGAGACUCUCCGCCUCCCCACCACGCUCCACUCCCAGGCAAGUCACCAAGACCGCCCGCCCCUUCCUAACCAGGAAAAAGCAGCAGGCCGGCCUACCCAGAGUUCUCUGCCUCCUCUCGACAGG